RNAcentral lists this long non-coding RNA (698 nucleotides) under Volvox carteri. RNAcentral's name for it is "long non-coding RNA (VCAR_LNC001906)". Lineage: Eukaryota; Viridiplantae; Chlorophyta; Chlorophyceae; Chlamydomonadales; Volvocaceae. The record is from RNAcentral.
GUGGAUGAAAUUUGACAGCUGUGACGUGUUUUGCCAGCUUUAGGAGCAGAUAUCACGGCUUCUUCAGGUUCUGCACACUGCACAUUUUCUCACAGUCUCCUCCUAUCGGAAUGUCAUUACCAGCGUGUGUUGUGCCGAACGCACUUUUGGGAGUUGUCGCAUUACUACCUCCACGAAAACAAAUGUCACAAAUGUUGGUGCUCGUUGUCGGCAUGCGUUGGGUCGACCUAAUGUUUGCACACGUGGCGUCUCGCUAGCCCAGUCCUCCGGUCUCUGAAUACAAAGUGGAAGCAAAAUUGUAAAUUCAUGGCCCUUCGAUUGGACAGGUUGCCUUGCCAUGCGGUUUAUCGAAGUUCUCACCUCGUUUUAAAGCUCUGCUUGGUGUGAUCCCCUUGUGGCCUCCUGUGGUUCUCAGACAUUUGUGGCAUGUGAGCGUGUCCCGUUGUUUGCCAUGCAUUGAUGGCGUUCCUUCUCUCUAACAAACUCUGAAAAUAUAUCACACAUCUAAUUUCGCCUUGCUGGCGGGAUCUCUGGUUGAUGCCUGUAGGGUUUUUGUGGCCUGUUCUAGGACUUAAGGGACAUGGUGCCCCUGCGAUAGACUGGAUAGUCCUCCGUGCCUGUAAGUUGAAUGACCAAAUUGGUUUUUGAUCGCCCUUGUACAAUCGAAACCUGAUGAACUUCAGCAACCGUCGUUCCAG